RNAcentral lists this long non-coding RNA (1260 nucleotides) under Calidris pygmaea (Spoon-billed sandpiper). RNAcentral's name for it is "lncRNA (ENSCPGG00000014025.1)". The record is from RNAcentral. Lineage: Eukaryota; Metazoa; Chordata; Aves; Charadriiformes; Scolopacidae.
CCCUCCCCAAACCGCUGCCCCCCCUCCCGCAGGCACCGCCGCAGCCCCCGGUUUCUCCUGCUGGAAGCCAUGCAGCUCCCGGAACUUCAACUGCUCCUGGGCCCCCCUUGGCCCCCCCGGCAACACCUCCUACCUCCUGACGCUCUGGUGAGUCCCACACCGUGGUGGGAACAGCCCUGGGGACCCCCUGUGUGGGGGACACGAGGGGAAGUGUGUGUGCCCCCCCCUGCAUCCCAAGCCCCCCCCGGCUCCGUCCCCAUUCCCUGGCAGCUACGUGAACGGGAGGCAGUGCCAGCGUUUCGAGGUGGGCACGAGGACGACGUACCCCCUGAGCCAUCGCCGAGUCUACGUCCUCACCAACGCCACGGCCUGGGUGGAGGCGCGCUGGGGGGGUCACCUCCACCGCACCCCCAACCUCACGCUGUUCCUCGACGAGGCCGGUAAGUGCCCGCAAAGGGCCAGGAGGGGCCACCGAGCCCCGGUGCCGGUCGCCACAAAGACCACUUCAUUUUGACAGUGAAGCCCGAUCCACCCGUCACCGGGCUGCCCUUCACCAAGACCGGUGGGCAACUGCGGCUACGGGUCCCGUGGCCAACGUGCCACCGUAGGAGCUGGCCGCCGCAGCGGGAGGCUCGCUUCCGGAGGACGGGCGAUGGCAGCUGGACGCAGGUGACGUGCGAAACGGUGACGGACCAGGAUGACUCAGUGAACUGCUCCCUGGAGAGAGAUGGCACCUUCGAGGUCCAGCUCCGGCACAAGCUCCCCCACUGGAGCAGCUACUGGAGUGACUGGAGCAGCUCCAUCUUCGUUCCCGAGGAAAUCCUGGAGAGCCUGGAGCUGAGCUACCAGCUGGGAGAACUGGGGAGAGACGGGCAGCGGGCGCUGAGGUUGGGCUGGCAGGUACGGUGGCAUCCCCGGGGACCCUCCUGGGUGUCCCCCCCCCACCAUUUCACCCCCUUCUCCCUCCCCCAGCGAGCCCCCGAGGGGCAGGGGAACGUCACCUACACCCUGCACGCCCGCAUGCUGGCGUGCCAUUGCGCCGGGCUGGCCGAGGAGGACGCGGUGGAGCUGGGGACGGAGGUGACAGCGCACAACCUCACCCUCUCCGGGGCAGAGUACGAAAUCCUGCUGACAGCGGCCAACGCCGCCGGGACGGGGCCGGCACGGAAGGUCCACGUGCCGGCAGAGCAGCGCGCAGGUACCAGCCCCACGGGAGGGAUGGAGCUCCUGGUGACCUCCAGGGAGUUUUUUUGCCACUGA